Molecule: long non-coding RNA, 271 nt
Filed under: Homo sapiens (human)
Lineage: Eukaryota; Metazoa; Chordata; Mammalia; Primates; Hominidae
Description: non-protein coding GACAT2:2
Source: RNAcentral
CUACAGUGACAACUGGACCUGGCCCGAACCCCUGGCAUCUGGCAACAUUAUUACCUGUCGAAACAGAAGUAGAGAUUUGAAAUAGAGGAUGCCUGUUCCCAUUUCCUCCUGCUGUCUGGAAGGAAGUCUGGCUUUCCAGCCCAACUCUAAGCUCAUCUUUACAUACAAAAUAAGGGUAUGUUUACAUGGAAAGCAAAAAUAGAACCAUGGAUUUACAGAAGGUUCCAUAGCAGCAAAUAACAGUGCUUAUGAAAUAAACAUUUUAAAUAUU